This is a long non-coding RNA of Pan troglodytes (chimpanzee), 2910 nucleotides long. RefSeq lists it as uncharacterized. The transcript is spliced from 4 exons. NCBI's taxonomy places the organism in Eukaryota, Metazoa, Chordata, Mammalia, Primates, Hominidae. The record is from RefSeq and is a predicted model, not a curated record.
GUGGAGGCCUGACCAAUCAGAGCCCGAGAGACGCCAUUGCAAGCCUCUGCAGAGGCGCUGGAGCUGGGUCAGUCCGCCGCUCACCCCGCGGCCGCAACUUCCCGCCUUCUCAGUGACAACCACGAACUUGAGCGUGUGGUCCUUGCCCAGGAUCUCCUCGUUGCAUAAAAUGUCCAGCUGGGGGAUAAGGAGGUUUGAUUAGCAGCAGAGAGGUGCUCAACCCACACUGACAUGGCCACCUUGAUGCUGGCCCCAUCACACCCCGUCUACCACACCUGCCGUACUGAGCAACGGGAAGAGGUGGUUUGCGCCCCAUGAGCAGCCCUGACAGCUCCGGAAUCGGGCACCCUGGUUCCCCAGGUGGCACAGGUGCCUGAGAGGCCCAUAGGGCCAAAGUGUUUCCCUCCCCAUCCCACCCAGGCCCGGUCCACACCAGCCCCCUCCCACAGCUGCAGCCUCCAGGGGCACCCUCUCCCCACAGGCCCUACCUCCGGUCCAGGCUGUCCCUCCCUCUCGCCAUAGUGCAAAAAUGCACUAGGCUCCCCAGUCUUUUAAAAAAAUUAGACUUUUUAAAGAACAAUUUAAGGUUUACAGCAAAAUUGAGAGGAAGGUACAGGGAGUUCCCGUCCCCAUUGGUACCCCCCGCCACCAACACCCUGCAUGGGGGCACAUUAGUCACCACCCAGGAACCUGCACUGAUGUCACCUCCACCGAGUCCAGAGCUGACGUCAGGUCGCCCUGGUGGCACAGCCACAGGUGGGCAAACAGCAGCAUCACCGCCCAGGAGCCCUGUGCCCGCCCACUCCUACUACCCUCCUCAAGCCCCUGCAGCCUCCGGAUGGUUCUGCCUUUUCCAGUGCGCCAUGCUGCAGAGCUGGAGUCGCACGGCCUGCAGCCUUUUCAGAGGGGUUUCUCUACUUAGUAACAGGGACUUGAUUUUUCUCCCCUGUGCCUGCUCUUGGCCCGACUGCUCAUUUCUUUUCAGUACUGGAUAACAGUCCAGUACGGAUGCACCACGGUUUAUUUUUCCACUCAUCUACUGAAGGGCAUCUUGGUCGCUUCCAGGUUUUGGUAAUUAUGAAGAAAGCUGCUAUCAACAUCCGGGUGCAGGUUUUUGUGUGGGCAGGAGAUUUCCAGUGGGUAAAUGACAGGGUGUGGCUGCUGGGUGGUUUGCCAAGAGUGUGUUUCGUGUUGUCAGCAGCUGCGAAGCUGUUCUCCGCAGGGCCUGCGGGUUCCGCUUCCCACGGGAAUGAACCUGCACUCCCGGCGUUUCCCGAAUGUGUUGUCAGUGCUUGGGAUUCUGGCCCUUCUAUGGGGUACGCGUGGUGCCACGCAGUUUUCCUUGUUUUUCCCUGAUCAUGUAGACAGUUCUUCAGAUUCCUCCCUGGGGAAGGCGUGAAGCAGCCCCACCUGCCUGAGUGGCUGGGUUGGGGGCUCAGAGGCAUGGUUACCGCAGCAGCAGCGCAAACCUCACACUCUUCCCUGGAGGAACCAGCCCUGCGCUGGGAAAUGGCCAACCUCUUCCCCACCUCCUGCAGCCCCACUGUCCGGCAGCUUCCCGCUACACCUCCACAUGAAAAUCCAAGGACUUCCUCGGCCUGCUCUGUCCCCAGCUACCAUCCAUCUUUUCUGUUUUGCUACACAGAAAAGCAAACAAAACGAUAGAAACUUAGCAAAAAGCCUUGCCCCAUUUCCUUCUCUCCCUUCCCCCCGUGUCCUGACUUGGUUUCUCCAUGAUCUCCAGGCAGCCUGUGCUCGUCUCCUGCGGCUGCCGUGGAAAUUAUCACGAGGUGGUGUCUUCAAACAAUAGAAAUGUACUCAGUUCCAGAGUCCAUAACAGCCACGCUCCCUCUGCAGGCUCCGGGGGAGAAGCACAGUCCAUUCCGUGCUGCUGCCACAGAACACCACACACUGGGUGAUUUAUGAAGAACAAAUUGAUUUCAGCACAGUUCUGGGAGCUGGGACAUUCAAGGUCACCACGUUGCCACCUGUGAAGGCCUUCUGCUGCGUCCUCAUGUUGGGGAAGAUCAGAAGUGAGAACACAUGCUGGCCAGUCCUUUCACAGCAGCAUCAAUCCGUGCAUGGGGCAGGGCCCUCGGCCUGAGUGCCUCCCCCAGGCCCUAACUCCCAGCACUGCCCUGCUGGGGAUGGAAUUUCCAACAUAUGAAUCUGGGGGAUGCCUUCGGACCACAACCGGGGAGCCUGCCCUGGCUUCCAGCUGCUGGUGGCCCAGGGGCUCCCUGGCUCGCCUCGAGGCUGCCUCCCUCCAGCCUCCAGUCUGUCCUCUGCUCUGUCCUCACCAGGGCCUCCUGUCUCGAGUCUUCCUCCGCCUCACUUGUGUCGUGGGAUUUAGGCUCCACCCAGAUAUUCCAGAAUUAUUUCAUCCCAAAAUCCUUUAUUUAAUUAUAUCUACAAAGAUCCUUUUCCAAACAAGGUCCCAUUUGCAGGCUCUGGGGGUGAGGAUGUGGCUUAUCUUCUGGGGCCACCACUGAGUCCACUGCUGCUACAGACAGCAUCUCAAGUCUGUCCACUUCUCCACCCUGACCGCCCCCACCACAGUCCUCUCCUGCAACUCCUGGCGCUGGCCUCUCCUGCGUCCAUUUCUGCACAGCCUGAGCGAUUUUCAAAAACGACACCUCAGACCCAUGCUCCUGCCCACAGCCGCCAGCGCCUUCUGUCUCCAUGCAAAGCUGGACCCUGCUGGCGCCUGCAUCCCCAUGGUGUCACUGCCUUGGGGGCUCACAGGGACCCACACUGGCAUGUUCAUGGUGCGCCUGCUGCCAAGGCCGCCUCAUGCCAGCACUCCUUCGUCUCCUUACACACCACAGCCUGGAAGGGUCCUCCCUCUCUGCAUCCGCCCAUGUCUCCCCUUGUGAAAUUAAAGCACAGAAUUUCUUGUUUUGAGGAAAA